AUGAAGAACUACAUUCCUUCAUUGAACAUGGAAGGGCGUACUAUCACAGAUCAGAAAGGCAAGGAGGAAGCCUUCUAUAAUGCAUACAAGGAUUUGUUGGGCAAGGACGUUGCUAGAGAGUUCACGCUAGAUUUGGAGGGUCUUGGAGUCGCUCACGUGGAUUUAUCGGAGCAAGACCGGGUAUUUACUGAAGAGGAGGUGUGGGCAGUCAUUAAGGAUUUUCCCUCCGAUAAAGCACCGGGACCGGAUGGGUUCAUUGGCUUGUUCUUUCAAAAAUCUUGGGAAGUGAUCAAGAUGGAUCUGAUGGCUGCUAUUCAUAAGCUGUUCCUUGGAAAUGGGAGGGGUUUUGGGAGGCUUAACCAAGCCUUCAUCACUCUUUUGCCGAAGUCCCCAGAUGCUUCUUCUGUAUUUGAUUUUCGGCCGAUUAGUCUUGUGCAUAGCAUGCCCAAGAUUGCUUCCAAGCUCCUUACUUCGAGGCUUAGACCGCGCAUGGGGGACCUUGUCCAGGUGAAUCAGUCCGCUUUCAUAAAAGGGAGAUGCUUGCACGAUAAUUUCCUUCUGAUGAGACAAGUGGCGAAGAUGAUGCACAAAAGGAAAGCUAAAGGAGUUCUGCUCAAGCUAGACAUUACUAAAGCCUUUGACUCCUUGUCAUGGCCGUUAUUGUUUGAAGUGUUGAGAGCCAAGGGUUUUUCAGAGCGGUGGAUCUCUUGGAUCGCCACCCUGCUUACGACGGCUAGUUCCAGAGUGAUCGUAAAUGGGCGUGUGGGAGAUAAGUUUAUGCAUGCUAAAGGUUUGAGGCAAGGGGAUUUGAUCUCCCCCUUACUCUUUGUUAUCGCCAUGGAUAUCCUCACGCAUAUUAUUAUCAAGGCACAUGAAGCUGGAGUCAUGAGUCGCAUCAAUGGAUGUAGCCCGGUGCAGCGGCUGUCGUUGUAUGCGGAUGAUGUGGUUCUUUUCAUCAAACCCACACGACCGGAUCUGGAGUUAGUCAGAGAAUCUCUUACCAUCUUUGGAGUUGCUUCUGGACUGAAAGUAAAUUUUGCUAAAUUGGCGGCAAUUAUGAUUCGAGCAGAGCUGGAGGAUGAGGAUAUUGUGAAGUCGGCGCUGCCCUGGAAGCUUGCCACUUUUCCUUGCAAGUACCUUGGACUGCAAUAA
Molecule: ribosomal RNA, 1152 nt
Filed under: Triticum aestivum (bread wheat)
Lineage: Eukaryota; Viridiplantae; Streptophyta; Magnoliopsida; Poales; Poaceae
Description: partial small subunit ribosomal RNA
Source: RNAcentral